GGGUCAGUAGGUUGGUCGUGCCACCGGUACGUACUGGUCUCACUGAUUCCUCCUUCCUGAAGAACCGUAAUGCCAUUAAUUUGGUGCUGCGGGGAAACAGGACUGUUACUUUGAAAAAAUUAGAGUGUUUAAAGCAAGCUAACGCUUGAAUACAUUAGUAUGGAAUAAUGAAAUAGGACGAUCGAUCCUAUUUUGUUGGUUUCUAGGAUUGACGUA
RNAcentral lists this ribosomal RNA (216 nucleotides) under Glomeromycotina sp. RNAcentral's name for it is "partial small subunit ribosomal RNA". The stretch from base 40 to 216 matches the Rfam family "Eukaryotic small subunit ribosomal RNA", at positions 686 to 864 of the family's 1831-position model. Lineage: Eukaryota; Fungi; Glomeromycota. The record is from RNAcentral.